AUUGAACGCUGGCGGCAGGCCUAACACAUGCAAGUCGAGCGGAUGAAGGGAGCUUGCUCCUGGAUUCAGCGGCGGACGGGUGAGUAAUGCCUAGGAAUCUGCCUGGUAGUGGGGGAUAACGUCCGGAAACGGGCGCUAAUACCGCAUACGUCCUGAGGGAGAAAGUGGGGGAUCUUCGGACCUCACGCUAUCAGAUGAGCCUAGGUCGGAUUAGCUAGUUGGUGGGGUAAAGGCCUACCAAGGCGACGAUCCGUAACUGGUCUGAGAGGAUGAUCAGUCACACUGGAACUGAGACACGGUCCAGACUCCUACGGGAGGCAGCAGUGGGGAAUAUUGGACAAUGGGCGAAAGCCUGAUCCAGCCAUGCCGCGUGUGUGAAGAAGGUCUUCGGAUUGUAAAGCACUUUAAGUUGGGAGGAAGGGCAGUAAGUUAAAACCUUGCUGUUUUGACGUUACCAACAGAAUAAGCACCGGCUAACUUCGUG
This 484-nucleotide ribosomal RNA is filed under the name uncultured bacterium. RNAcentral describes it as "partial 16S ribosomal RNA". It matches the Rfam family "Bacterial small subunit ribosomal RNA", at positions 30 to 507 of the family's 1533-position model. The record is from RNAcentral.